UUCUUAAGGUUUUUAAGUUGGAGAGCUGUUGACCAAAGUCAUUGGACUGAAUAUUUCCAUCAUAAAAGGCAUGGUAACAAAAUGUUGGCAAAAGGCCUUUGCUUAAUUCAUAGUUUAUUCAACAAAACUCUCACCUGGGGGAAGACAGAGUUAAAAGGCCAGUAACAGUGGGAGGGUCAAUAAACCAUCUACCAAAGUGCUGGUGAGGUCAGGUCUUAAACCAUGUGUGAAAUGUGGAUUCUAGGCAAAGACCUCUGUUCACAUCAGUCACCAAGUUAAUUAAAUCUUGAUCUUCUGCAUCUCCAAAUGCACCUAGGACAGCCUUGCAAAAAUGAUCCUUAUCAGAGCCAUUGGAUAUCCAGGAGAUUUGCCUAUUCAGAGGUGAAUGAAGUCAGCUUUUCUGUGGGAUACACAUUGAGAAUGCAAUGGGAAAAGGUGAAGAAAAUGUUUCCUCACACUCUCCUUCUCUUCGUUGCAUUUGAUGUCAUACAUUUGUGAGCUAUGGCUGCAGUAUCAGCACUAGUCACUGCUGAGAUGACUGUUGAAACUCUACUUGGAACAGGCAACAAUUAGCACCCAAGGAGAUGGGCUCCAUUAGCCUGGGCUACCACAGACUUAAAAUCAAAGCUACUUGAAUUCCAGAUGGCUCAAAGUAUAUCUUAAUCUGUCUUGAGCAAGUCCCCUAAUCCAAAUUCCUGCCUUUGUAUGAGGACUUGAGAAAUGAUUCCUGAAAUGGCUGCAUCCAUCUUAUGACUAUGAAAGGAAGGAUAAGUCACUGACAAAGAUCCAGAUUCAAAGUCUUGAUAUCCACGUAGCAAUCAUCAACCACUGGACCUUUUCCAAAACCUAAUAAAGGAAUUUAGCCAGGUUGCAGGACACCAACUCACUCUAAAAAUCAACUAGAUCUCUAUAUUUUUGAAAUGACCUGGAAUCUUUCACUGUUCCCUGGACCAGUAAUACCAUUGUGCAAUCCUUCCUCAGUAUCUGGUGACAUCCUGUGUUUGGAAUGGCCACUUCUAAUGCCUGCAUUUGCUGAGAAGUUCUUUGGAGAAGGGGCAUAGAAGCAAAUGAAGUCAUAUUCCUUCUUGUAGUUCCAAAUCUCACCAGGAAGAGGAGAUCCUUAGACCAAUGUUCUUUCCCCUGAACCAGAGAUGAGGAACUUUUUCACAACUCUUGUGCCUUUUUGAGAAGAUGGGAGAAGUAACUACACACUGCCUUCCCCUUUCUCUUCUCACUGACCCCUCUCCAUGGAAAGAAGAGCAGCCAAUGAGAUGAGUCAGAGUCAGAUGCUAGGACUUGACUAUAAGCCACAGGUUUGAUUACUAGAAAGGAGUCCUGAUCCAGACCCCAAGAGAGGGUUGUUUGAUCUUGUGCAAGAAAGAAUUCAGGGUAAGUCCAUAGAGUAAAGUGAAAACAAGUUUAUUGGGAAAGUAAAGGAAUAAAGAAUGUCUACUCCAUAGGCAGAGGAGGAGCAGGGGCUGCUCAGCUGCUUAUAGUUAUUGUUACUUCUUGAUUAUAUGCUAAACAGGUGUGGAUUAUUCAUGAGGUUUCCAGGAAAGGGGUGGCCAAGUCCCAGAGCUGAGGGUCCCACCCCUUUUUAGCCCAUAUAGGAUAACUUCCUGACAUUGCCAUGACAUUCAUACUGUCAUGGUGCUGGUGAGAGCAUCUUUUAGCAUGCUAAUGCAUUAUAAUCAGUGGAUAAUGAGCAAUGAAGACCACCAGGGGUCACUUUCAUCCUUUCAUCACCAUCUUGGUUUUGGUGGGUUUUGGCUGGCUUCUUUACUGGAAACUGUUUUAUCAGCAAGGUCUUCGUGACCUGUACCUUGUGCCAACCUCCUAUUUCGUCCUGUGAUUUAGAAUGCCUAACCUCCUGGGAAUACAGUCUAAUAGGGCUCAGCCUUAUUUUAACCAGCCCCUAUUCAAGAUGGAGUCACUCUGGUUCAAACGCCUCUAAUAGUUUUACCCUGACUCUGCCUGGGCCCUGCUUGCCUCCUGGAUUGGUCAUUAGUGCAGUGGGUUCUCACCUGCUUCCUUCCCUCUUACUGGAGGUUCUCCUCCCUCAGAACAUACCUUUAGCCUCCCCAUUCAUGAUUAGUGAGUAAAUGAGGUUUAUGCAGUCCUGUGGGCUCAGCUGACUCUACUUAAUUGUUAACAGAAUUUGAUAUCCUACUUGAGUCCUCAAACCUUAGCCAUUUCUUUUAGCACAGUUUACGACAAAUCCUACUUGUUAGUCACUGUUUUUACAUGAUUAAUAAAGCCGAAAUUUUUAGUCUUGUUUUGGCUAAUGAUUCUUGUGCCAAUUCUUUCCAUAGAUUAAAAUUUGGGGAGAACAGAAUGGAGUAAUUGUCACCUCUAAUCACUAAGCCUCAGAUAUAGUCAAAUUUGAAUGAACCAUUAUUUAAGUUAACUUUAUUUUUCUAUCCUAGGCUUCUAAAGAGAUGAUUGACCUAAAAAAAGCUAAAGUAUGGGAUUUUAAUAAGAAAAAUUUCAGAAUUAAUACAUAUUUGGCUUAACUUUUAAUCUCUUAAAGGUGAGAAUGAGAAGGGGGUGUUAGUGGUUUGACAAAAAGGAAAAGGAAGAAAAUUCUAUAUCCAUCUUAAAAAGUGGGAGAGUUAAUUCACUAGUGGGUUGUAAGAGGAUCUCUGG
This 2646-nucleotide long non-coding RNA is filed under the name Homo sapiens (human). Its description in RNAcentral is "HSALNT0250132". The record is from RNAcentral. Lineage: Eukaryota; Metazoa; Chordata; Mammalia; Primates; Hominidae.